RNAcentral lists this ribosomal RNA (479 nucleotides) under Klebsiella pneumoniae. RNAcentral's name for it is "bacterial SSU rRNA". It matches the Rfam family "Bacterial small subunit ribosomal RNA", at positions 63 to 533 of the family's 1533-position model. The record is from RNAcentral. Lineage: Bacteria; Pseudomonadati; Pseudomonadota; Gammaproteobacteria; Enterobacterales; Enterobacteriaceae.
CGAGCGGUAGCACAGAGAGCUUGCUCUCGGGUGACGAGCGGCGGACGGGUGAGUAAUGUCUGGGAAACUGCCUGAUGGAGGGGGAUAACUACUGGAAACGGUAGCUAAUACCGCAUAAUGUCGCAAGACCAAAGUGGGGGACCUUCAGGCCUCAUGCCAUCAGGUGUGCCCAGAUGGAAUUAGCUAGUAGGUGGGGUAACGGCUCACCUAGGCGACGAUCCCUAGCUGGUCUGAGAGGAUGACCAGCCACACUGGAACUGAGACACGGUCCAGACUCCUACGGGAGGCAGCAGUGGGGAAUAUUGCACAAUGGGCGCAAGCCUGAUGCAGCCAUGCCGCGUGUGUAAAGAAGGCCUUCGGGUUGUAAAGCACUUUCAGCGGGGAGGAAGGCGUUGAGGUUAAUAACCUUGUCGAUUGACGUUACCCGCAGAAGAAGCACCGGCUAACUCCGUGCCAGCAGCCGCGGUAAUACGGAGAGU